RNAcentral lists this long non-coding RNA (1471 nucleotides) under Ananas comosus (pineapple). RNAcentral describes it as "long non-coding RNA (ACOM_LNC025519)". Lineage: Eukaryota; Viridiplantae; Streptophyta; Magnoliopsida; Poales; Bromeliaceae. The record is from RNAcentral.
AGUAAAAUGAUUAACACAUGACCUUAAGGGUGCGUUUGGUUCGCAUUAUAAAAGAUUACUAGGAAUAAAAGAUAUCUGAGAAUCUUAUUACUAUUCAUCCUAUUACUAAGAAUGUGGAAUUCCUGUGUUUGGUUCACACAAUAAUAUUAAUUAGUCAUGUUAUUUAAUAUUACAAAAAUUAUACAAUUAAUUAAUUUAUUUAUUUAUUUAAUUUUAGAUAAUGUUACCAAAAAUUUCAACAUCUUUUUAGAAAAAAAGGAGAGAGAGUAUAAGUUAGAGAGAGAGAGCAUAAUUAAAAAAAAUAGAAAGAAAAAUAUAGUCGAAAUUAGAGGGAGUGAGAGAGUUGAAAUUUUAGAAAGAGAGAGAGAGAGAGAGAAAACUUAGUUUAGAGAGAGAAAAAAAAGUUGAAUUUUAGAGAGAAAAAUAAGUUUAGAGAGAGAUAUAAGGUUAGAGUGUAAAGAAAAAUAAUAUCAAUUAGCCGGCGGGUAGGAAGAAAGAAAGAGAUUAGACAUAUUAUGAUUACCCCAAUCCAUUAAUAUGAGGAUACCCACCCUCCCUCAAGGGAAUGAGAUUAGUACUUUGGGGUGAAUCUUAUUCCCAAGUGAAUCCAAUAUUACCAACUAGAUUACUUAGUGCGUUUAGCCAAACACCGUCAUAUUUUUUUAUUUCCAUUGAAUUAUUAGGAAUCUUUAAAAGAUAGCGCGAACCAAACGCACCCUAAUUGCUACAUGCAACAAUUAAAGCCCCUUUAUAAAGUUUAGGGGAUCAUGUUUUUUUCACAAAGAAAAAGUUAUGUCACAUCUUGAGUGGCCAAAUCUUUACCAAACAUCCAAACCUUUACCAAAUAUCCCCAAGGUUAGGUUUCUAGAGUUUUCUCAAAAAGGUUUGGCCAUGAUUCCAUGGUGGCUCUCUCUCUCUCUCUCUCUCUCUCUCUCUCUCUCUCUCAUCUUUAUAAAACACAAUGUAAUUCAUAAUCAUUAUAUCCUAUAUUAUUUUAAAAUACAAUUUUUUUUUUUGUAAAUACUUUUUUUCACUUGCGCUUUCAGACUUUUACAAACUUAUAUUUUAUCCUCUUGAAAUUUCAGAAAUAUUUUCAGAAGGAUAUGAUGUUAAUGGAGAGAGCAAAAUAACUGAAUAAUUUUUAUUUUUUCUAUAAGAAAAAUAUUUUUUAAAAUUAUUUCUGUCAUUUUGAAGGAUAUUUUCGAUAUAAAUUAUAAAAAAUAUGUGGAAUAGUGAUGAACCUUGACGGAAAGGGGCUAAAUGCAAUAACUUAAAUGUUGAGGCAAUAAAAUAUAGAUUUUUAAAAGUUAGAAAAAAAAAUAAAAAAUUGGUUUUUAUAAAAGAGUUUUUUAUAAUUUAGCUAUAAAAAAAGCAUUAGAAAUGUGUGGAAGUGACAUGAACUAUGGCUUAUUUUGAUUUUUCUAUCUGACUUGUCGAUUCAUUUGGUUCGAGUUGUUUGCUUACUAUACUU